CCUACGGGAGGCUGCAGUGAGGAAUAGUGGUCAAUGGGCGCGAGCCUGAACCAGCCAAGUAGCGUGAAGGAUGACUGCCCUACGGGGUGUAAACUUCUGUUAUAAAGGAAUAAAGUGAGGCACGUGUGCCUUUUUGUAUGUACUUUAUGAAUAAGGAUCGGCUAACUCCGUGCCAGCAGCCGCGGUAAUACGGAGGAUCCGAGCGUUAUCCGGAUUUAUGGGGUUUAAAGGGAGCGUAGAUGGGUUGUUAAGUCAGUUGUGAAAGUUUGCGGCUCAACCGUAAAAUUGCAAUUGAUACUGGCAGUCUUGAGUACAGUUGAGGUAGGCGGCAUUCGUGUUGUAGCUGUGCAAUGCUUCGAUAUCACG
Molecule: ribosomal RNA, 366 nt
Filed under: uncultured bacterium
Lineage: Bacteria
Description: partial 16S ribosomal RNA
Rfam family: Bacterial small subunit ribosomal RNA
Source: RNAcentral